RNAcentral lists this ribosomal RNA (330 nucleotides) under Triticum aestivum (bread wheat). RNAcentral's name for it is "partial small subunit ribosomal RNA". Lineage: Eukaryota; Viridiplantae; Streptophyta; Magnoliopsida; Poales; Poaceae. The record is from RNAcentral.
AUGUGUGAUGCUAGUGAUUAUGUUGUUGGUGUUGUUCUAGGACAAAGAGUUGAUAAGAAAUUAAAUGUUAUCCAUUAUGCUAGCAAAACUCUAGACAUUGCUCAAAGAAAUUAUGCUACCAUUGAGAAAGAAUUUCUAGCAGUUGUGAUUGCUUGUGAUAAAUCCAGAUCUUACAUAGUUGAUUCAAAAGUAAUUUUUCACACUGAUCAUGCUGCUAUUAAAUACCUUAUGGAAAGAAAGAUGCUAAACUUAGACUCAUUAGGUGGGUCCUUUUGCUACAAGAAUUUGACUUGCAUAUUACUGAUAGGAAGGGAGUUGAGAAUCCCGUAG